GUCCUGGUCGAUUAGUGGUGAAAUCAUCUCGUUGUGGUUUGAAUGCUGUUCAAUAACUCCGAGAAGCCGAGGGCUCGACUCCCUCCCGGGACA
This is a non-coding RNA of Marasmius sp. AFHP31, 93 nucleotides long. NCBI's taxonomy places the organism in Eukaryota, Fungi, Basidiomycota, Agaricomycetes, Agaricales, Marasmiaceae. The record is from the annotation of a GenBank genome assembly.